Molecule: ribosomal RNA, 230 nt
Filed under: uncultured microorganism
Description: partial 16S ribosomal RNA
Rfam family: Bacterial small subunit ribosomal RNA
Source: RNAcentral
UACGUAGGGUGCGAGCGUUAAUCGGAAUUACUGGGCGUAAAGCGUGCGCAGGCGGUGAUGCAAGACAGAUGUGAAAGCCCCGGGCUUAACCUGGGAAUUGCAUUUGUGACUGCAUUGCUAGAGUGCGGCAGAGGGAGAUGGAAUUCCGCGUGUAGCAGUGAAAUGCGUAGAUAUGCGGAGGAACACCGAUGGCGAAGGCAGUCUCCUGGGCCUGCACUGACGCUCAUGCA